This 420-nucleotide ribosomal RNA is filed under the name uncultured bacterium. RNAcentral's name for it is "bacterial SSU rRNA". It matches the Rfam family "Bacterial small subunit ribosomal RNA", at positions 356 to 773 of the family's 1533-position model. The record is from RNAcentral.
AAGGAAUAUUGGUCAAUGGAGGAAACUCUGAACCAGCCAUCCCGCGUGCAGGACGAAGGCCCUCUGGGUUGUAAACUGCUUUUACCAGGAAAGAAACGAGUGGGCUUGCCCGCUCCUGACGGUACCUGGGGAAUAAGCACCGGCUAACUCCGUGCCAGCAGCCGCGGUAAUACGGAGGGUGCAAGCGUUAUCCGGAAUCACUGGGUUUAAAGGGUGCGUAGGCGGCUUGAUAAGUCAGGGGUGAAAGCUUCCCGCUCAACGGGAGAGCUGCCCUUGAUACUGUCAGGCUCGAAUUGGGUUGAGGCCGGCGGAAUGUGGCAUGUAGCGGUGAAAUGCUUAGAUAUGCCAUAGAACACCGAUUGCGUAGGCAGCCGGCCAAGCCUUGAUUGACGCUGAGGCACGAAAGCGUGGGGAGCGAAC